UUGUGUUUCUGAAAUGAUUCUGAGAACAGGAACAUAUUUCAGAGUGAAAAUCUGUGGGAAGUGAUCUGAGUAUUUCUUUUGCUUGUCCAGAUUUUGCAUGAUCAUGUUUCUACGUCUGGAUGUGGUGGUUUCUAAUCUCAUGGAUUCAAAGAUGUCUGUUCCAGAUAUUCCUGGUGUGGUUAUGAGGUGGAUGUUUCUUCCUGACGAUACGCAUGUUCAAAACCCCUGACUUGAUGUUCAUGCCAGGACAUUCAUUGCAAUUACCCUGAUUUGACAGCAACCGUUAAAGGAAAUAAAAAUGACAGCUUUGGAGCAGUCCUGUCGUGCCGCAUGAUGGCUCUUGGCAGCAGGAGUCCUAAUCACCCUCCUGAAGAUGUCUGUUGAGAUCCCACGUCUGAAUAGCAAAGGGUGCAGCAGUUUCAAAUGGAUGUUGUGUUCUCCUCUGCCUCUUCUUCUCAUCUGGCCUACAGCGCGCAACAAAGCCACUGCACAUCUGAGAUCUCCACCCAAGAAAAGCUGUGUCACUGAGAUGAAGUUGCACAAAACACAUCUUACAGUGGCGCAGGAUUUCUUUGAGAUGAGCCCCACUACCUUUGUACAGUGUCUCUGGUUUGGUGCUCAAGGAGGUGGAGGGACCUAAUUUCACUAAAGGCUUAGGAAAAUCCUAGUCUGCUAUGAUCAGGAGCUACUGACACCCGCCGGCAGGUGAUGAAUUAGUGCAGCACAGUUGGAGCUACUCGAGGGCUGCAGAUGCGAAUCCCAGAGCUGUUACUAUUUGAGCACUGGAGGAGACAAAGUGGACAUCUGAUUGCUGUCCAUGACUCUUAAGAGGAGGAUGUGCAGAAGACAGAGCCAGACUGACCUCAGAGAUGCAUAGGCGAGAAGCAACACGCACAAAUUGCAGCAUGG
Cygnus olor (mute swan) is the source of this 909-nucleotide long non-coding RNA. RefSeq lists it as uncharacterized. NCBI's taxonomy places the organism in Eukaryota, Metazoa, Chordata, Aves, Anseriformes, Anatidae. The transcript is spliced from 6 exons. The record is from RefSeq and is a predicted model, not a curated record.